This 347-nucleotide ribosomal RNA is filed under the name uncultured bacterium. RNAcentral describes it as "bacterial SSU rRNA". It matches the Rfam family "Bacterial small subunit ribosomal RNA", at positions 917 to 1267 of the family's 1533-position model. The record is from RNAcentral.
GGGCCCGCACAAGCGGUGGAGCAUGUGGUUUAAUUCGAUGAUACGCGAGGAACCUUACCAGGGCUUAAAUGUAGAGCGACAGAGGUGGAAACACCUCCUUCUUCGGACGGUCUACAAGGUGCUGCAUGGUUGUCGUCAGCUCGUGCUGUGAAGUGUCGGGUUUAAGUCCCAUAACGAGCGCAACCCCUAUUUCUAGUUGCCAGCGGUUCGGCCGGGGACUCUAGAGAAACUGCCAGCGUAAGCUGUGAGGAAGGUGGGGAUGACGUCAAAUCAUCACGGCCCUUACGUCCUGGGGCCACACACGUGCUACAAUGGUAAGGACAGAGGUUGCAACCCGCGAGGGUGAG